This 271-nucleotide unclassified non-coding RNA is filed under the name uncultured fungus. RNAcentral describes it as "partial contains 5.8S ribosomal RNA, internal transcribed spacer 2, and large subunit ribosomal RNA". The stretch from base 1 to 52 matches the Rfam family "5.8S ribosomal RNA", at positions 103 to 154 of the family's 154-position model. The record is from RNAcentral. Lineage: Eukaryota; Fungi.
AACGCACAUUGCGCCCGCUGGUAUUCCGGCGGGCAUGCCUGUUCGAGCGUCAUAUCGUAAGUCAGGCCUUGUCUGAUGUUGAGGUUUUUUUCCGAGCUAGUGGGAACACUAAUCGGAGCCUCUGAAAUUGAUAAGCGGCUAUAGAGACUAGUAGUGUCCGAGCGUUGUGAAAACUCUCGCUCCGGCGCUGGCGGUACUUGGUCGUUAGGGCGCAUAUAGCGUCAGUUUAAUUUUCGACCUCGAAUCAGGUAGGGAUACCCGCUGAACUUAA